GACAGAGGUGCCAAGCGUUAGGCGGAAUCACUGGGCUUAAAGCGUGUGUAGGCGGAUCGUUAAGUGUCUUGUGAAAUCCCACGGCUCAACCGUGGAACUGCUGGGCAUACUGGCGAUCUUGAGCGGUCUAGGGGCAGAUGGAACAAGUGGUGGAGCGGUGAAAUGCGUAGAUAUCACUUGGAACGCCAAAGGUGAAGACAGUCUGCUGGGGACCUGCUGACGCUGAGACACGAAAGCCAGGGGAGCGAACGGG
Molecule: ribosomal RNA, 253 nt
Filed under: uncultured prokaryote
Description: partial 16S ribosomal RNA
Rfam family: Bacterial small subunit ribosomal RNA
Source: RNAcentral